CCUACGGGAGGCAGUAGUGAGGAAUAUUGGUCAAUGGACGAGAGUCUGAACCAGCCAAGUAGCGUGAAGGAUGACUGCCCUAUGGGUUGUAAACUUCUUUUAUAAAGGAAUAAAACGAGGCACGUGUGCCUUUUUGCAUGUACUUUAUGAAUAAGGAUCGGCUAACUCCGUGCCAGCAGCCGCGGUAAUACGGAGGAUCCGAGCGUUAUCCGGAUUUAUUGGGUUUAAAGGGAGCGUAGAUGGGUUGUUAAGUCAGUUGUGAAAGUUUGCGGCUCAACCGUAAAAUUGCAAUUGAUACUGGCAGUCUUGAGUACAGUUGAGGUAGGCGGAAUUCGUGGUGUAGCGGUGAAAUGCUUAGAUAUCACGAAGAACCCCGAUUGCGAAGGCAGCUUACUAAACUGUGACUGACAUUGAUGCGCGAAAGUGUGGGUAGCAAACAGGAUUAGAUACCCUUGUAGUC
RNAcentral lists this ribosomal RNA (460 nucleotides) under uncultured bacterium. RNAcentral describes it as "partial 16S ribosomal RNA". It matches the Rfam family "Bacterial small subunit ribosomal RNA", at positions 338 to 795 of the family's 1533-position model. The record is from RNAcentral.